UUCGGCCACCGGAGCUAGGCGAGGAAGGAGUGGGCCGCGGCCGCGGAGGCUCAACUUCACGUCUUCUGUAUGUAUGUCCUCUCUAAUGCCAUUCAUUAAUGUGAAUUUGCUAGUAUCUGAAUUGGAUUAGAGUCGCAGCACAUGAACUGUAUGUGAGCCUAUGGAUCCGUUAUGUUGUGAUGUGCAAAAUUCGAUGAGAUAUCUUCCAGCUCCCUUUGCUCUGACUGAGCAUCGAAGUUUCUCUGUACUCUAUAUUGCCUGAGUAUGGAAGUUCAGCACAUAAGGUGCAUACCCCUGCUUGGCGUAUUUCUAGGCUGUAUAUUCAUGCAUCCAAGGUUUGGUCCUCAGAUAAGAGAGCUUCAGUAACAAAAACAUUGUUUAUGAUCUUGUUUUUGUUGCGAAGUCCUGCUGUAAUGAUGCUUCGAGGUAAGAUAUGGAUAAUGCUAUAUUGACCAUAUGCGAUAUGGCAUAAGAAUUAUGUUUUUUCCAUUAAUAAUUUACACUUAAUGCAGGUUGACAUUCUGACUGUUCAAUACAGUUAUCCUCAGGGAGAUAAUCUCAAAAUCUUCACAUUUCACAUCAAAUGACUCCAACCAUGAUGACUAAUAACAUAAAUGGUGGUGCACAGUGGUUUGAUGUGAAAUACACGCCAAUGAUAUGGAAAAACAACUCCAAUGGGAAACAAACCAAACAUAUUGUAGAUGAUUGGAAAGAAACAAGUACAGUUUUAGCUGCACUAGAGUGGAUUGAAUCCUGGAUAUUUCUCGGAUUGUCGAGAGAGUGUGCUGGCAGGCAUUUAACUCCUCACAGCAAACCCCGGCAGAAGGUUCCUCAACCCCAAAGGCUAGGAUAGUGUCAGGCCCUUCUUUGGGUGAUCAGCAGCAAGGCAACUUUCUGUUAACUUGUGGAAGGCUGCCUUUCACGACGAGUUCAGCAGAAUUUGCCCCCUUCGUGCUGGUGGGCAUGAGUGACUGUUUGCAAUGUUUAAUGCCGCUCUUCGUUUCAAAAGAAUAGACAUCUUUCAUUAUUGCUACUGUAACAUGUAUUUGACUUGUUCUGCUAGCAAUGUGUAACCAGUUUAGAUGUUGCAAUGUUUAAUGUCGUCCUUCGUGAAUCAGCUAGCGAGAUACCAGCUGAUCCUAUAGGAUAGUUAUGAUGGGUGGAAUGAUGCUGCCCCUUUUGGUGCCUA
Molecule: long non-coding RNA, 1189 nt
Organism: Lolium rigidum
Lineage: Eukaryota; Viridiplantae; Streptophyta; Magnoliopsida; Poales; Poaceae
Exons: 2
Source: RefSeq, a predicted model, not a curated record